Poeciliopsis prolifica (blackstripe livebearer) is the source of this 994-nucleotide long non-coding RNA. RefSeq lists it as uncharacterized. The record is from RefSeq and is a predicted model, not a curated record. The transcript is spliced from 3 exons. NCBI's taxonomy places the organism in Eukaryota, Metazoa, Chordata, Actinopteri, Cyprinodontiformes, Poeciliidae.
CACGCUUCACCAGUGAAACGAGCUACUGUGCAAAGCACCGGUGGAAGAUAAGUAGGCUAAAUGAUUUCACAAAAAAGGACUAUAUCCUUCAGGGACAAAGAAAAGAUGGAGGAAGAGGAAGAAGAUAAAAAAGCCUAGACAAAGAUAUGUCCAUUUCCAUACUCUCCAGAACUAAGUCUGGUACCCCCAUCCUCUGUGCCCCUAUCUGGAACCACUGCUGAUCUGCCUGCUGCCACCUCCACCAAACUCCACUUCAUCCACCUGGGAAGAAAAGGACACCUGCACCGCAAUACUGCUCCUAGGUGUUGUUUGGCAUUCAAAACUCUCAAUACUGAGCAUCAAAUAAGAAAACGAUACCAACUUUGUGAUCAAUCCAUUUCUCACACUGCUGACGUCAGCUCCACCCACAUCCAACUUUGGUAAUCAUAACACCUUGGCUUGGGUGUAGGAGGUUCUGUGGUACCCAUUACAGAGAACCUUCAACACCCAGUUUGCAGCCUCAGUUAGAAGCAGUCUAAGAAGAAAAUGAGGAGAGUUCACAUUGUGUCUCAUACUCACCAUGUUCUACAUAAGGACUAGAGAGGUAAUUAUUUGCAGCUGUAACACAGUCUGGUUUGGGAAUUGUACUACAAGAGCCUACAGUGCAGAAUGAGGACAGGUAAAAAGACUAUUGGUGUUUCUCUGCCUGUCGAGCUAAUCAACCUUUGCAUGACCUGCUGCACUUGCAGUGAUGUAGAAGUGUGACGGUUGCCCAUUCACACAUUUCAUUGCUUCCUCUUCCUGCAGUCCUCUGAAAAAAAAUAUUGCAACAUGAAGGCGUUAAAUACUAAUAGGGAAACGGUUUUUCUCCACAUAAGCCACCAGAUUCCUGAAUGCACUGUCAAGUGCCUUCCCUAAACUAAGUCUGUACUGUAUAUACACACUAUCCUCAACUUAGCCUUUGUGUUAUAUUGUGUGUUGGACUGAAGAGAAGCAUCUCAUUUCUUCAUGUAUU